GUUCCUGUAGUUAAAUUUUUUAACGACGGCUUUUCAGGCCGUAGAUCUCGGAGAAAGGCCGGGUAGGAAUU
RNAcentral lists this transfer RNA (71 nucleotides) under Icterus bullockii (Bullock's oriole). Its description in RNAcentral is "tRNA-Glu". Lineage: Eukaryota; Metazoa; Chordata; Aves; Passeriformes; Icteridae. The record is from RNAcentral.